CUACUGUUAUGAGCAGAAGUCCACGUGCGAUAAAUCCUGCUGAAGACUCUUGAGUUACAUGCAGGAAGAAGAUGCUGCACGAUGUGUUUACAAUUUUCUAGUGAGGCUGAAUCCACUGUCAGAGAACUGCUUCAUUCCAUCCUCCCCCAGCUGAGACUCAAGAGACACCAGAAAAUGGACAAAUUUGCCGUAACUGUGAUGAAGGAGAAAGAAGAUAUGAAGAAGAAAGAAGAUAAAACCCAUCUCUCCAUCUGAAUUAGGUAGCUGGGCAGCAGGGUCUUGGUUGCCAAAUAUGUGGAAAGGCCCAUGCCAGGCAGAUGAAUACUGCGUAACCUCCAUAUCUGGAAGCUGAAAGGGAAUGCCAUAGCCAUCCCUGCAGAGGAAGACCCAACCACCUAAGGUGCAACGGCAGCUCUCUGCAGAGCAUCUCCCCUGUACUCAUUGCACUGCAAUGCUGAGUAUAUGCGAGAAGGCUGGUAUUUCUACAGUGCCACAAGAAACCUCAAUAAGUUCAGAGCAAUGAGAAGCUUUGCUUCCACAUCACAAAAAGUCAUGAUGAUUCAGACCUCCGAGAAAGAAGAAGGUAUUAAAGCGGGGUCUCUGCUCCUGGGCAAGGCCAGCAUGGAUGUUUGUACAAGACCCAGCAGACCAACCUGAGGAAGAGUUAUUAAAAACUGAUGUCCUGGAGAAAUAUCUGGAGAGCUUACUCUUCCUCAGAAAAAGAAAGGAAACGGCAGAGGCAAAGCGACCCAGAUGGCCCAU
Molecule: long non-coding RNA, 762 nt
Organism: Cuculus canorus (common cuckoo)
Lineage: Eukaryota; Metazoa; Chordata; Aves; Cuculiformes; Cuculidae
Exons: 5
Source: RefSeq, a predicted model, not a curated record